RNAcentral lists this unclassified non-coding RNA (331 nucleotides) under uncultured fungus. Its description in RNAcentral is "sequence contains ITS1". The stretch from base 1 to 101 matches the Rfam family "5.8S ribosomal RNA", at positions 50 to 154 of the family's 154-position model. The record is from RNAcentral. Lineage: Eukaryota; Fungi.
AAAGUGCGACAAGUGUCAUGACUUGCAGAUACCCGAGAGCUGACAAAUUUCUGAAUGCAAAUUGCAGCCAAGUUAACCUGGCUAUACAGUGCAGAGAGUACUUCGCGUAUGCGCUUACUCUGGGGUUGAGCACAACCUUCGGGUUGUCACUUCUGGGACCUGCAUGAUUGAGCAUAUGUUGACAUAUUGGCACACGCCAAUACAGUCCAAGCUCUCCCAUGUUAAAGUCAGAAAACCAUCGAGUUUUCCUGAAUUACUGAGAAAAAGAGUUUAAUACCCUCUUACCUCUCACCUCUCACCUCUGCAUUGUAGGAGAACCCGCUGAACUUAA